AAAUAUUUAUCUGACUCUUUUUGUGUGUGUUUGUUUUCUAGGGCAUUGCUACGGAUGCGAAAGCUACAAGCCAACUGUUGUUCACCCUAGCAGCCAAGCAUAUGGCACGGGUCCUAGAUGCUCUGUAGAACACGACAAAGUGUGUGGCUGUCAAUGUGAGGAUGAAUCGGCAAGCUGGAGCAAUAUAAAAUAAAAAUAAAAAAAAUAAAAAAAUUCCUCUCCUUCCUCCUCUUCUUCUUCUUCUUCUUCUUCUUCUUCUUCUUCUUCUUCUUCUUCUUCUCCUUCUUCUUAUUUUCCUCCUC
RNAcentral lists this long non-coding RNA (302 nucleotides) under Hordeum vulgare. RNAcentral's name for it is "long non-coding RNA (HVUL_LNC016212)". The record is from RNAcentral. Lineage: Eukaryota; Viridiplantae; Streptophyta; Magnoliopsida; Poales; Poaceae.